AAGUGAAUUACCCUGGUAUCUUAUCAAAAUGAAGAUCCAAAACAAUAGAUCUAGGGUAGGACCAGGAGUCUACAUUUUUAAUGAUCUCCCAAGUGAUACAAGU
RNAcentral lists this microRNA precursor (103 nucleotides) under Marmota monax (woodchuck). Lineage: Eukaryota; Metazoa; Chordata; Mammalia; Rodentia; Sciuridae. The record is from RNAcentral.